RNAcentral lists this ribosomal RNA (250 nucleotides) under uncultured prokaryote. RNAcentral's name for it is "partial 16S ribosomal RNA". It matches the Rfam family "Bacterial small subunit ribosomal RNA", at positions 524 to 773 of the family's 1533-position model. The record is from RNAcentral.
UACGUAGGUGGCAAGCGUUAUCCGGAUUUACUGGGUGUAAAGGGAGCGCAGGCGGGAGAGGAAGUCAGCGGUGAAAUACAUGGGCUUAACCCAUGAACUGCCGUUGAAACUGUUUUUCUUGAGUGAAGUAGAGGCAGGCGGAAUUCCGAGUGUAGCGGUGAAAUGCGUAGAUAUUCGGAGGAACACCAGUGGCGAAGGCGGCCUGCUGGGCUUUUACUGACGCUGAGGCUCGAAAGUGUGGGGAGCAAAC